RNAcentral lists this ribosomal RNA (461 nucleotides) under uncultured bacterium. RNAcentral describes it as "SSU rRNA". It matches the Rfam family "Bacterial small subunit ribosomal RNA", at positions 26 to 518 of the family's 1533-position model. The record is from RNAcentral.
AGGAUAAACGCUGGCGGCGUGCCUAACACAUGCAAGUCGAACGUCCUCGCGCAAGCGAGGGAGUGGCGGACGGGUGAGUAACACGUGGGUACCUACCCCAAGGUGAGGAAUACCGGCGAGAAAUCGCCGACAAUACCGCAUAGGUUUCGAAAGAAACAAGCUCGGGCAACCGGGCGCCCUGGGAAGGGCCUGCGGCCGAUUAGCUAGUUGGUGAGGUAAAAGCUUCCCAAGGCGACGAUCGGUAGCUGGUCUGAGAGGAUGAUCAGCCACACUGGGAUUGAGAACGGCCCAGACUCCUACGGGGGGCAGCAGUGAGGAAUUUUCGUCAAUGGGGGCAACCCUGAACGAGCAACGCCGCGUGCAGGAAGAAGGUUUUCGGAUCGUAAACUGCUUUUCUCUGGGACGAGAACGGACGGUACCAGAGGAAUAAGCCCCGGCUAACUACGGUGCCAGCCAGCCGC